AACCUGGAGGAGAUAAAAGAGGCGCGGGGACAAAUGUGCUGUGGUCCCGGUGCACAGUGACACCUGCACCGAGCACCGAGGAUCUGAUCGGCCCCGGGUCCAGCAGAAACCUCCGGACGGGACCGGGCUGAGGGGAGAGCUCUGCCACCUACCUGCCGAGAGGCCUCACUGAAAACACCCAGACUGCACAAAUAACUACCAGCUGAGGUUUAACUUCAGUCAUAAAAUCAGAAAGUUUAGUCUGAGUGGCACCACCCCUCACUCCCACCAACUGUUAUCGGAGCAAAGCAAUCUGUUGGCACAUGCUGAAGAAACUAAUCCUACAUGUGGAGGCUACACCGGACCUUUCAGCCUGUGCUGUCUUUUCCUCUGCUCGGAGGUCUAAAGUUGUUCAUGGCUACAUAAGGCAGACUGCCCUUAGGAAUCAGAAAAACUCUCUGUUACACUGGUUGUGUGACUGCUUGUAAGCUGCAUGACGGCUGUAGAACCACAGACAGACUGGUCUCUGCUAUUGCAUUGUUGAAUGGAGGUGAUAAUGCUUAAAGUUGCUCAGUGACAGUUAACACAAAUACAGGACAUAUUUGUGUCUCACCGUGAAAGCAGAGAAAAUGUUCAAAUAAACAAAAAGGAACGUUAAA
Molecule: long non-coding RNA, 638 nt
Organism: Seriola aureovittata
Lineage: Eukaryota; Metazoa; Chordata; Actinopteri; Carangiformes; Carangidae
Exons: 2
Source: RefSeq, a predicted model, not a curated record